CACAAGAUCUGCCUGCGUCCCAGCCUCGGGGGGGGGGGGGGGGGGGCCUCGGGGGGGGCACCAGGGCAGGGGCAGAGGAGAGCUGGCGCCCAGCCAGCUCCAGCCUGCAGCCACCGUGAGCACUCCCCCAUCCUGGGAGCCCACCAGCAGGGGACAACUCCUCUGUCCACAUGGGGAAGCUGCAUCCCAGGAAGGCCACCUGACCCUGGCCAGGAUCUCCCUGUGCUUGCCAGGUCCAGCACCACUGGUGCAGCCUCAUCCCAGAGUCUGCUGCCUGGGCAGGGGUCUUGCCGGGGCUGCUCAGGGAGGUUGGGACUGUGCGCCUGCCCCUGCCUGUCACCAGCUCUAUAGUUACAGGGGGCCAGCAACACCUUUAGGAGCAAGGACGGAGCCGAGUUCCUGGUGUAGAUGGUGACCUUCGGACUCAGGGGCCACCAGCUGCCCAUCACUCCUGUCUCACUCAGGUGGGACCGAGUCCUGCCAGGUGAUGAGGCGACUGGGCUGGCAGAGGACAGAGGGUGACUUCCAGGGGGUGGAAGCAGUGCCUACUGGGAGUAAGCUCUAUCACCAGGGGCCAGCCAAGCCGGGGCCCAGGGGCUAGGGCUAGAGGAGGGCCCAGGGCCAACCCCAGGAAGGUGAGGAGGCCUGGGCUGGUGGCAGACGGGCAGCCAGUGGCACAGGGACUUCAGUGCUGAGGGAUGCUGCAGAAUGGGGACGUAGGGUUCUGAGUUUGGGGAACGAAAAUUCCACAUGAGGCAAGUGUUUCACUGGGGUUCUAGGGAGAGGGCAGGUGAGGGGCCAGCUCCCAGGAAGAAGCAGCCUUGGGGGACCCGAGGUUUAGGGGUGGCACAUUUUGGGCACAGGUGCAUCCUCCC
This 875-nucleotide long non-coding RNA is filed under the name Marmota monax (woodchuck). Lineage: Eukaryota; Metazoa; Chordata; Mammalia; Rodentia; Sciuridae. The record is from RNAcentral.